This is a non-coding RNA of Oryza barthii, 208 nucleotides long. Lineage: Eukaryota; Viridiplantae; Streptophyta; Magnoliopsida; Poales; Poaceae. The record is from Rfam.
AAUAAGUGUAGUUUUACACUAUUUAUGUUUAACGUUUGACCGUUUGUCUUAUUUGAAAUUUUUUUACGAUUAAUACUUUUAUUGUUACUAGAUGAUAAAACAUGAAUAGUACUUUAUGUGUGACUAACUUUUUUUUAAUUUUCUCAUAAAUUUUUUCAAAUAAGACGGACUUAAACUUUGGACACAGAUUCCCACGACUGCACUUAUU